GAUUGUGGGAAAGAUUUCAUCGGCGUGGGAUGGGGUCGCGUCCUAUCAGCUUGUUGGUGAGGUAACGGCUCACCAAGGCUUCGACGGGUAGCCGGCCUGAGAGGGCGACCGGCCACAUUGGGACUGAGAUACGGCCCAGACUCCUACGGGAGGCAGCAGUGGGGAAUAUUGCACAAUGGGCGCAAGCCUGAUGCAGCGACGCCGCGUGAGGGAUGGAGGCCUUCGGGUUGUAAACCUCUUUUGUUUGGGAGCAAGCCUUCGGGUGAGUGUACCUUUCGAAUAAGCGCCGGCUAACUACGUGCCAGCAGCCGCGGUAAUACGUAGGGCGCAAGCGUUAUCCGGAUUUAUUGGGCGUAAAGGGCUCGUAGGCGGCUCGUCGCGUCCGGUGUGAAAGUCCAUCGCUUAACGGUGGAUCUGCGCCGGGUACGGGCGGGCUGGAGUGCGGUAGGGGAGACUGGAAUUCCCGGUGUAACGGUGGAAUGUGUAGAUAUCGGGAAGAACACCGAUGGCGAAGGCAGGUCUCUGGGCCGUCACUGACGCUGAGGAGCGAAAGCGUGGGGAGCGAACAGGAUUAGAUACCCUGGUAGUCCACGCCGUAAACGGUGGACGCUGGAUGUGGGGCACGUUCCACGUGUUCCGUGUCGGAGCUAACGCGUUAAGCGUCCCGCCUGGGGAGUACGGCCGCAAGGCUAAAACUCAAAGAAAUUGACGGGGGCCCGC
Molecule: ribosomal RNA, 720 nt
Filed under: Bifidobacterium bifidum
Lineage: Bacteria; Bacillati; Actinomycetota; Actinomycetes; Bifidobacteriales; Bifidobacteriaceae
Description: bacterial SSU rRNA
Rfam family: Bacterial small subunit ribosomal RNA
Source: RNAcentral